RNAcentral lists this ribosomal RNA (499 nucleotides) under uncultured bacterium. RNAcentral describes it as "bacterial SSU rRNA". It matches the Rfam family "Bacterial small subunit ribosomal RNA", at positions 899 to 1397 of the family's 1533-position model. The record is from RNAcentral.
ACUCAAAUGAAUUGACGGGGGCCCGCACAAGCGGUGGAUUAUGUGGAUUAAUUCGAUGCAACGCGAAAAACCUUACCUGGCCUUGACAUGUACGGAACUUUCCAGAGAUGGAUUGGUGCCCGAAAGGGAGCCGUAACACAGGUGCUGCAUGGCUGUCGUCAGCUCGUGUCGUGAGAUGUUGGGUUAAGUCCCGCAACGAGCGCAACCCUUGCCAUUAAUUGCCAUCAUUUAGUUGGGCACUUUAAUGGGACUGCCGGUGACAAACCGGAGGAAGGUGGGGAUGACGUCAAGUCCUCAUGGCCCUUAUGGCCAGGGCUUCACACGUAAUACAAUGGUCGGUACAGAGGGUAGCCAACCCGCGAGGGGGAGCCAAUCCCAGAAAGCCGAUCGUAGUCCGGAUUGCAGUCUGCAACUCGACUGCAUGAAGUCGGAAUCGCUAGUAAUCGCGGAUCAGCAUGUCGCGGUGAAUACGUUCCCGGGCCUUGUACACACCGCCCGU